AUAUUUUAACACAAAAAAGAACAAUUAAACACAAAAUACACCCACAGUAAAAGUACUGCAGUAUUAUAGUGAUGUAAAGAAAAAACAAAGUUCUGAUACACAAAUGUGUUUUCAGUUUUUUGACUUUUUCUCUAAUCUUUGAUUUUUGCUGAAAUAUUGGAUCAUUUGAACAUUUAUUGAAAUGAAACCAUGUGAGAAGUUUAGAGGGAAAAAUCUGAGUCUGAGACAGAUCUGCUUCACAGUGCAGAGUGUGUGUGAUGUUUGAUUUCAGCAGCUGAUCUUCAGUCAGCAGAAGAGACUCUCCCUCCUACAGAGGAACCAGAGAGACUGAGGAAUCAGAUGACAAGGACCCAAAUCCAAACCCAAACCCAGCAUACAGAGGUUCAGUGAAUGUGGUGUUGAAGGUGUGGAGGUGGAUCAGCGUGUCAGAGGAGACUCUGUAGAAGGACAGAGUGCCAGCAGGACAGUCCACAUACACUGCUACUCUGUUAGAGACAGAGGAGGAGGAGGAGGAGG
Scomber japonicus (chub mackerel) is the source of this 516-nucleotide long non-coding RNA. RefSeq lists it as uncharacterized. The record is from RefSeq and is a predicted model, not a curated record. The transcript has 3 exons. NCBI's taxonomy places the organism in Eukaryota, Metazoa, Chordata, Actinopteri, Scombriformes, Scombridae.